GGUGGAUCGUCGACGAAGUUAAUUUUAUCCCUAAGGAAUAGAAUGUGUGAUAAACAGCAAUUCUUACUAAAAUUCUAACUACCUAAAAACACAUUUGGUAUGGUCGAGGCAAUUUCUAACUUUAAGCACUAAAAACAACAUAUUCCAAAUAUUACAAGUUCCCUAAGUUCCUGACUACAUUCACGACAAGUUGUUGUUAGGAUGUGAGGAUCCACUAGCGCCAGUGGAUCUCCCCCGAAGGGAUAGCAACUUUUUAUUAUUCUCACUACUUACGUAACUGGAAUGUCACGGGGUAAUCUAGAGUUAUCCAAUAAGAUAGUCCCUUGGGAUGUGGAUACCCACGUGUACCUGGGAUAUAUAAUGCUAAUGUCCUGACUCAUUCUGGGUCAGUUUGCCGAGACUGCAGACAGUAGGAGAAAGGAGCUUAAUAUUUUUUGUGUGCACCGCCACCAGCGUUUAGUCAUGGCAGAACUUCCAAAUCCGGAUGAGAUGGUUGCAAACGCUUAAGAAAUUAGACCGGCUGAGGUUGUCCAAGAAGUUGUGCCUCCGCCAGCAGCAAUUGGACCCGAAAUCGUACCGGCCGUACCAGAACUUGUGUCGGCCGCACAAGAGCCUACUGUGGAUAGGCUAGAAGCCCUGGAAAGAAAGCUGAAGGCUCUCGAGGAUGAAGAGUUGAGGGAUAAUAUGGCGCACGCGUUGGCGCUUCUGAGACGAUACCUAGACCGACCGCUAUCCAUCUUUGAUAAAUUUAAAGCGACUGAGUUACUUCAAGCGCUAGUCCGGUCAUCAAGGAGAGACGGCCACGCGAAAGCAGAGGAAUACGCUGGGGCCCAAAUGAAGUCAGGUUGAGGUAAAUUUACGAUUAUUUAAACAAGAUUUGGAAGAAAUUGGCAAAUGUCAAGUGGGACCUACGGCUUGGUGUGAUAUUCACCAAGGAACCCAACCUUUCGUUGGCCCAAUCAUCCCACCGAGUAUGAAGAUUAAAAACCCGUGUUUGGCAAAGCUAGACAAUUUAAGGUUCCGUCGCCCAAAUCAUUUCAAAGCAGGCUCCAUUCACGAGCACCAAGAAGUAUGGGAUGAACUUUUCCAAACGUGUAAUAGCAAACCAAGAGGUGUAGACUUGGGAGAGAUUGUCAGAGAAGGGGUAAAAGUUGAGGAGCUCUUCACACAGUUAAAGGAAACUUUAAAGGCAAGCAGUACGAUUUGGAUAAACCUCCGCCUAUGAUAAUGGAGAACGCCGCAGUUUGCUCUGGGUUUGAGGAGUUUAUUACGAUUACGAUUCUGGAAUGGGUAGCGGCAGAUGUGUUAUCUGUCUGGGGUGAAGUGGGCAUGUUCGACCCCCAUAUUUAGUGCUCCCUCUUACUUUGGAACCCUCAAAACCACGCCUGUGUCACGACGAGCGGUAUUUAAGUCUAUGGGUGAAAGAUCUGCCAUUUAAGUUGGAUCACCUACCAGAUCUACCGAGAUACGUUUUAAAAGACCAUUAUCAAACCACUUUCGAUGAUAAAAGCGGUUCUCAGCAUGUAAGACUCCACUCUUCGUCAGAAUCAUAUUUUGGUGUUAAGUUUCGAGGUUAUUAUUUUACAUUUCUCACGUUGCUUUUUGGGUGGAAAGCGAGUGCGUUUGUUUACCACAAUUUGGGCAUGACAGUAUCGGAUAGGGCACGAGCUCUCAGGGUUCCUGUGUCUCAGUAUAUCGAUGACCGCCAUGUGGGGCACGAGCUCUUGCGGUUCCUGUGUCUCAGUAUAUCAAUGACCGCCAUGUGGGGCACGAGCUCUCGGGGUUCCUGUGUCUCAGUAUAUCAAUGACCGCCAUGUGGGGCAGUUAUAUUCACCUCAUGUUAGGGACGCUUUGGCGGCGAGUACUCCAUUGGCGGAGGCGGCAGCGUAUAUUCUUUGCUACUACUUGAUAGAGGCGGGUUACUUUAUAUACUUAGUCACAGUCCACGCCUUCCGCCUUGGUUCGUUUUC
RNA transcript from Nematostella vectensis (starlet sea anemone), 1970 nucleotides. RefSeq lists it as uncharacterized. The record is from RefSeq and is a predicted model, not a curated record. NCBI's taxonomy places the organism in Eukaryota, Metazoa, Cnidaria, Anthozoa, Actiniaria, Edwardsiidae. The transcript has 3 exons.